GAUGAACGCUGGCGGCGUGCCUAAUACAUGCAAGUCGAGCGAACAGAUAAGGAGCUUGCUCCUUUUACGUUAGCGGCGGACGGGUGAGUAACACGUGGAUAACCUACCUAUAAGACUGGGAUAACUUCGGGAAACCGGAGCUAAUACCGGAUAACAUAUUGAACCGCAUGGUUCAAUAGUGAAAGGCGGCUUUGCUGUCACUUAUAGAUGGAUCCGCGCCGUAUUAGCUAGUUGGUAAGGUAACGGCUUACCAAGGCAACGAUACGUAGCCGACCUGAGAGGGUGAUCGGCCACACUGGAACUGAGACACGGUCCAGACUCCUACGGGAGGCAGCAGUAGGGAAUAUUCCGCAAUGGGCGAAAGCCUGACGGAGCAACGCCGCGUGAGUGAUGAAGGUCUUCGGAUCGUAAAACUCUGUUAUCAGGGAAGAACAAAUGUGUAAGUAACUGUGCACAUCUUGACGGUACCUGAUCAGAAAGCCACGGCUAACUACGUG
Molecule: ribosomal RNA, 497 nt
Filed under: uncultured bacterium
Lineage: Bacteria
Description: partial 16S ribosomal RNA
Rfam family: Bacterial small subunit ribosomal RNA
Source: RNAcentral